Molecule: non-coding RNA, 146 nt
Organism: Gossypium hirsutum (cotton)
Lineage: Eukaryota; Viridiplantae; Streptophyta; Magnoliopsida; Malvales; Malvaceae
Source: Rfam
UGUUAAAAAAAUUCAUUCAUUUCUAAUACUAAAAACCAACUUGACUAACAGAAUAACCAAAUAGUGACACAUUAUGUGCCAUGUGUAUCUCAUAAAAAUGUAAAGAGAUUAAUUUUUAAUGGUAAAAAUAGAUGAAAUUUUUAAUA